This is a long non-coding RNA of Eptesicus fuscus (big brown bat), 823 nucleotides long. RefSeq lists it as uncharacterized. NCBI's taxonomy places the organism in Eukaryota, Metazoa, Chordata, Mammalia, Chiroptera, Vespertilionidae. The record is from RefSeq and is a predicted model, not a curated record. The transcript is spliced from 3 exons.
CUCGCUGAGCAGCUGACGAAAUGUCCAUGCCUGUGUUUCCCGUAUAAACCGCCUUAGGGUGGUACAAUAACUUGCCGUUUCUGAAGCACUCCCACGUGUCCUCAAAGCUGCCUACUCAAAGGAGCAACCAGGAACCAACAGCAGUGGCAUCACCAGGCUCUGGUUUUAUGUAACGCAGUUGGGCGUCUCAUAGCAACCCUGAGACGGGCUGUAUCAGCAUUUCUCUGGGAACCUGCUUUCUCCAGGGUUUAUAAUGAACCCAGCACGGGGCACAAACAAGCCCUCCCUGUCCUUCCCUGAAGACCGCGCCUGCCUUGAACUACUUAUGGGUGUUUAUCUGCAGACUCUGGGUAUGGAUGGAUUCUCAGAGAGGGUUAGUCACCUGGGCAAGAUCACACAGCUAGGACAUAGCAGAGACCCAAAACCAUGACUCCUCACACACCACCUCAACAUCUCAGAAGACAACACCUCUGCCUACAAACAGAUGACUCACCCAGGGCAGAGGAAGUUGGGGACACGGUAAGAUGGCCUGGAAGUCAGACGUGGCAGGGACUUGAGGCCAGGAGGCACCAGCUUCCCAGACCCAAAGUUUGUUUUUCCUGAAGAAGCACGGAGCAGACCCAGAAGGAAAUGAGCUGACAAGACGUGCCCCAGUGCGGAAGACACACCGGAGUCUCCAGCGCAACCACCCAGCUGCCCAAGCAGGAAGCAGGCGCAGCAACCUGGCAUUGACAAACCUCCGCCUGCUUCUCCAAAGAUUCCCAGAGCUCGCAUUUUCCAUUUAUAUGAUUCAAUUAGGAAUCCCGAAAUGUGUAAAUCUUGG